GAAUUCAUAGGUUAAUGAGGCGAACCGGGGGAACUGAAACAUCUAAGUACCCCGAGGAAAAGAAAUCAACCGAGAUUCCCCCAGUAGCGGCGAGCGAACGGGGAGGAGCCCAGAGCCUGAAUCAGUGUGUGUGUUAGUGGAAGCGUCUGGAAAGGCGCGCGAUACAGGGUGACAGCCCCGUACACAAAAAUGCACAUGCUGUGAGCUCGAUGAGUAGGGCGGGACACGUGGUAUCCUGUCUGAAUAUGGGGGGACCAUCCUCCAAGGCUAAAUACUCCUGACUGACCGAUAGUGAACCAGUACCGUGAGGGAAAGGCGAAAAGAACCCCGGCGAGGGGAGUGAAAAAGAACCUGAAACCGUGUACGUACAAGCAGUGGGAGCCUCUUUAUGGGGUGACUGCGUACCUUUUGUAUAAUGGGUCAGCGACUUAUAUUCUGUAGCAAGGUUAACCGAAUAGGGGAGCCGAAGGGAAACCGAGUCUUAACUGGGCGUUAAGUUGCAGGGUAUAGACCCGAAACCCGGUGAUCUAGCCAUGGGCAGGUUGAAGGUUGGGUAACACUAACUGGAGGACCGAACCGACUAAUGUUGAAAAAUUAGCGGAUGACUUGUGGCUGGGGGUGAAAGGCCAAUCAAACCGGGAGAUAGCUGGUUCUCCCCGAAAGCUAUUUAGGUAGCGCCUCGUGAAUUCAUCUCCGGGGGUAGAGCACUGUUUCGGCAAGGGGGUCAUCCCGACUUACCAACCCGAUGCAAACUGCGAAUACCGGAGAAUGUUAUCACGGGAGACACACGGCGGGUGCUAACGUCCGUCGUGAAGAGGGAAACAACCCAGACCGCCAGCUAAGGUCCCAAAGUCAUGGUUAAGUGGGAAACGAUGUGGGAAGGCCCAGACAGCCAGGAUGUUGGCUUAGAAGCAGCCAUCAUUUAAAGAAAGCGUAAUAGCUCACUGGUCGAGUCGGCCUGCGCGGAAGAUGUAACGGGGCUAAACCAUG
This 990-nucleotide ribosomal RNA is filed under the name Escherichia coli. Its description in RNAcentral is "partial 23S ribosomal RNA". It matches the Rfam family "Bacterial large subunit ribosomal RNA", at positions 160 to 1191 of the family's 2925-position model. Lineage: Bacteria; Pseudomonadati; Pseudomonadota; Gammaproteobacteria; Enterobacterales; Enterobacteriaceae. The record is from RNAcentral.